This 429-nucleotide ribosomal RNA is filed under the name uncultured bacterium. Its description in RNAcentral is "bacterial SSU rRNA". It matches the Rfam family "Bacterial small subunit ribosomal RNA", at positions 355 to 776 of the family's 1533-position model. The record is from RNAcentral.
UGGGGAAUAUUGGACAAUGGGCGCAAGCCUGAUCCAGCAACGCCGCGUGUGUGAAGAAGGCCUUCGGGUUGUAAAGCACUUUCGUCGGGGAGGAAGGGUUUAUAGCGAAUACCUAUAAACUUUGACGUUACCCGAAUAAGAAGCACUGGCUAACUCUGUGCCAGCAGCCGCGGUAAUACAGAGGGUGCGAGCGUUAAUCGGAAUUACUGGGCGUAAAGGGUGCGUAGGUUGCCUACCAAGUCAGAUGUGAAAGCCCUGGGCUUAACCCAGGAAUUGCAUUUGAUACUAGUAGGCUCGAGUGCAGUAGAGAGAGGCGGAAUUUCCGGUGUAGCGGUGAAAUGCGUAGAUAUCGGAAGGAACACCAGUGGCGAAAGCGGCCUCUUGGACUGUAACUGACACUGAGGCACGAAAGCGUGGGGAGCAAACAGG